AACGAACGUUGGCGGCGUGGAUGAGGCAUGCAAGUCGAACGUGAAAACCUUCGGGUGAGUAGCGUGGCGGACGGGCGAGUAACACGUAACCAAGCUGCCUGUCAGACGAGGAUAACUCCGGGAAACCGGAGCUAAGACCCGAUGGCCUUGCGGGAUCGCAUGUUCCUGCAAGUAAAUGGACGGGACCCUCCGGGGCCGUCUGCUGACAGAGGUGGUUGCGGCCCAUCAGCUAGUUGGUAGGGUAAUGGCCUACCAAGGCUACGACGGGUAGCCGGCCUAAGAGGGUGGUCGGCCGCACUGGGACUGAGACACUGCCCAGACUCCUACGGGAGGCUGCAGUCGAGAAUCUUCCGCAAUGGGCGAAAGCCUGACGGAGCGACGCCGCGUGGGGGACGUAGGCC
RNAcentral lists this ribosomal RNA (401 nucleotides) under uncultured bacterium. Its description in RNAcentral is "bacterial SSU rRNA". It matches the Rfam family "Bacterial small subunit ribosomal RNA", at positions 28 to 416 of the family's 1533-position model. The record is from RNAcentral.